Molecule: ribosomal RNA, 503 nt
Filed under: uncultured bacterium
Lineage: Bacteria
Description: partial 16S ribosomal RNA
Rfam family: Bacterial small subunit ribosomal RNA
Source: RNAcentral
AUUGAACGCUGGCGGCAGGCUUAACACAUGCAAGUCGAGCGGGGUGAUGGUGCUUGCACUAUCACUUAGCGGCGGACGGGUGAGUAAUGCUUAGGAAUCUGCCUAUUAGUGGGGGACAACGUCUCGAAAGGGAUGCUAAUACCGCAUACGUCCUACGGGAGAAAGCAGGGGAUCACUUGUGACCUUGCGCUAAUAGAUGAGCCUAAGUCGGAUUAGCUAGUUGGUGGGGUAAAGGCCUACCAAGGCGACGAUCUGUAGCGGGUCUGAGAGGAUGAGCCGCCACACUGGGACUGAGACACGGCCCAGACUCCUAUGGGAGGCAGCAGUGGGGAAUAUUGGACAAUGGGGGGAACCCUGAUCCAGCCAUGCCGCGUGUGUGAAGAAGGCCUUAUGGUUGUAAAGCACUUUAAGCGAGGAGGAGGCUCUUUUGGUUAAUACCCAAGAUGAGUGGACGUUACUCGCAGCAUAAGCACCGGCUAACUCUGUGCCAGCAGCCGCAGUAA